GGUUUUAUAGUGUAUUAAACAUAACAGACUGCAAUUCUGUUGAAGUUAUUUUAAAUAUCUAAAACUU
RNAcentral lists this transfer RNA (67 nucleotides) under Allopsontus sp. 1 JZ-2014. RNAcentral describes it as "tRNA-Cys". The record is from RNAcentral. Lineage: Eukaryota; Metazoa; Arthropoda; Insecta; Archaeognatha; Machilidae.